Non-coding RNA from Pogona vitticeps (central bearded dragon), 674 nucleotides. Lineage: Eukaryota; Metazoa; Chordata; Lepidosauria; Squamata; Agamidae. The record is from RefSeq and is a predicted model, not a curated record.
AAGAGCCAACCCGUUGCCUAGCAAUCAGACACGUCCCGCUUUCUCAGUGGGGGGGCCCUCCGCCCCACCCCCUGCUGCCCUGAGCUGCAUUGCGAGCGGGGUGCUCCGUAGCUGAAGUCACCCGAACAGCUGCCCCCUGGAAGCGCACUCUUCACGUCCCCAGGGGCACCCUUGUGCCGACGCUCCGUGCGUGUGGCUUGGCCAUCCGCUCUCUUCCCCCGCCCGAGCUCGUGACGCUCUCGUCGUCGUCGUCGUCUCUCUGCGCAGGCGCAGAGUCGGAGCGGCGUCGCUCAGCGCCCAGGCAAGGUUUCCGAAAGGAAGGAUUUGAGGUACAGCUGGGGGAAGCAGAACCCAUGGAAUGGACGGUAGAUAUCUAUCUAUCCCAAAAAGGAAGACCAAUGGAAGAAGGGGGCCAAACUGGUGGUGAUGUCUCACCCAGAAAUACCCUCGGAGGGAGAGUGGGCUCAACGCCCCUGUUGCAGUACCAUAGGUCGCAGUGUGAGGAGGCCCACGAGAAAACCCACAGAUUUCAAACAGUUUGGAGUGAAUCCCCGAUGGUGAACUCUCUUGCAACACCUGAGUUGAGGGACUGUUAUGUAGAAUGCAGGGAAAAUGAGGGAUCUGUUGGUCCAACUGAAGUUGCUGUUCCUGGUUCUCCAGUGUUUGAAAAAAAA